UGUUUAGGACACUCACCAUAGCAUUUUGGGCCAAGAAACGACUAUAAGCUUUGCAUAUUGAUAGAUGGUUUGCAUUUGCCAUUAAAGGGAGGUUGAGAAAAUUUAUUCAAAUUUUCUUUUAUGUAUGAUGGUGAUCACAGGUUUGCUUUUCCAAGCUAUCAUUUUCCUUGCCAUCUUCUCCCUGUCGAUAAGCCAUGUAAAUCGAAGCAUUUGUGCCUGCCACGUAUCGGAAGCUUUCUCCCUAAUGGCUCUAUUCGUCAAGUACCCUUGAUUUGCGUGGAGUAUAUACCUUUACAUCAAAGUGACAUUGAUAGUAUCCUUUCUGGUCGCUUGAACCUGACAUGGCUGAGGUCGUGUUGUUCCAAGAUGCGUCUUACCUUAUACAUACAUGGUCAGCUUCUCAGUAUGAAAACCUUGAAUAUUGCUGGGCCAACCUUCUAUCGUGUCGAGCUCAAAACUAUAAAUCUUGAAAGCUUUCGAGUUUCAAGGUUCGAUCCAAAUUGUGUUUUUGUUGGAGUUCCAUUUCUGAAAAAAGGUAGUUUGCUUGCAACUAUGUGGAGCUCAUCAAUAGCCAGGAUGCUAAUUGCAACAGAUCUUCCUCGGCUUCAAUUUUUAUCUCUGUUUUUUACGAGUGAGGUCUGCGAAGAAAAAACCAUGUCCUUGUAAGUUCGUUUUUACACUCCUCUUGUAACCUUUGACAUUUGAUCAGUAACAUGUAGAUUUUUUCUCUAUACGUGCUGCCCCAAAGGGCAAUAACUCCUAAAUUCAACCUUCGAGAAUAACUGGUUCUGCUUGUUAAGAGGUCAUCAGAUUUCGAUAUCUUCACAAUUACCCGCCCGUUGAGGGUUUCUCCUGUCCUACAGAUACUACAUGCGAAGGUUGAUCCUUAAUUUUGUUUAAGCCUAAUAUUCUGACAUCUAAAUUGAUCUGUUAUAGAUUAUAUUGAUUUUUUUUUUUUAUCAGAACAUGAGCAUGCUACUCCAUUCAUACCACAUGAUGCAUCCUUGUCUCUUUAAGAACGUAGUUGACAUCCUUCCUACAGCAAGCAAGCUGCUCCAUUUAUAUCAUAUGCACUAACUGGGAUAUCAGAUGCCUUUAUAACCUCACAUUUCUUGGUUAAAUCCAACACUGGAUAUGGAUGUAACGUCCCGCAUUGGUAAGAGUAAAGGGUUGCCUUCUUUAUUGGCAUAGCAAUCAAUAGCCUUGUAUAUAUACGAGAAUUUGAGGAUGAAUCGAGAAUGUGGCUAGAGCAUUCUGGGAAUGUAGUAGGAUCAUUGCAGUUAGUAUAUAGGUUUAUAGACUGCUUGGCCCAUAACAAUGAUAUGAAAGCCAAUUCAAAAGGAUCGGUGCAGACUUGUAGGAUCCUGCCUAAUAUCAAGUUGACGUCAUUCGACAAUAAUACCUUGUAUUGUUUCUGGAUGGGAGACGUUAUAACAUCCCACGUUGAAAGAGGAGAGAUGGAUCGGUAUAGCUCAGGGUACUGAGCAAUUAUACAGAGAUAUGCUAUAUAUAUCAAAAUAGGGAUUUGCUACUAACAGUCUACUUGAAAGGCAUCAUGUUUUUAGAGAUUAGUGACACAAGUUUAAAAAGAGAUUCGUAGCACCAAACUAAAAUAGAUCAUAAAUUUAAAUAUAAUUAUUGAAUCAAAUUUAAAUUUUUAUAGAAAAUUCUCGGCUCUAGAUCUAUGGAGGGACCCCUUUGCCGGUCCAUCCAUUACGUUGAUUUUCUCAAAUUAAACUUCGAAGAUUCUAUUUUGUUAUUUUUUCUUGAUUUUUCUGAAUUUUAUGAUUUUUAGCAUAUAUCCUUUUUGUUAUAGUAUUUUGAUUUUUCUAUAUAAAAACUUGUAGAUCUUUUAGAAAGAUAAACUCUGUAAGAUUAAUAUUUCAUAAAUAAAAAUAAUAUUUUAGGGUUAUGUUUUUGUGUUUUAACUCUAUUUCAACCUAUUUUAUAUAUUUCUAUGGUCGUUGUUGUUCUUGUUGUGCUCCCAUCUGGAUCGUAGAUUUCCUGCUAUUUGUAUCUCGGGCUUCACUUAAUCAAGUUACUGCAGUAGUUGGAGGAUAGCUGGAAGUUGAUAAGCAUGCACCUCUUUGCAUGCAAUUUUUUCUGUUGAGGAGAAAGGAGGAAUUUUUUUGGGGAUGGUAAGGACGCUACAGAGAACGUUUCAUAGGAUCAGGUACGUAGUUUAAAUCUUUCAAGCGUUGCAUUGUUUCUGAUGCCAAUCAUUUUACGGUUCAUAAUAAAUUAAUGUGCUUCUCGCAUACCUCUCUUUUUAAUUCUAACCUAACACUCCUUCGAAUUUAAUUUUCACGUCGAAUUUAUAAUCUUCCAAGUACAUGAAUGGUACAGCGUGAUCGAUCUUAAUUAUCAAGAAGUUUCAUUAAAGGUUUGAUUCUUGUUUGCAUAGUUUGGUUUACGCUGUUCAAGCUUGAUGGCUCUUACCUAUCCACCGGGACGAAUUUAUGAUAGGUUAGCUUGCAUGUGUUAUAAUUCUCAUUCUGGGAGCUUCGGCUGAAAAGGUCUGAGAUUGUGCUAAUCUUCACCAUGAUUUACAUUUUACUUAACCUGCAUUGCAUAAGAGACUGAAGUUGACAUAAAUGUCCAAAAUUAGUCAAUUCCUUGGUUUUGAAAAGCUGUGCAUAUUAGUUAUAGGCACUGUUUUGAAGAACUUGGUUUUAGGCCAUGCCUUCAUGAAGGCUCGCUGGAUUUGAGUGACGGGUGAAGGGCACCUCUUAGAAAUUUGGAUAUGUUGGGAAUUCAAUGGGAAUUCAUUAAUUUUCUGCAUGGUUCAAUAUACGUUGUUGCAUGUUAAUUUACACACACACACACACACACACACACACAUAUAUAUAUAUAUUGGUAAUAAGCCAUUUAUCUUCAUCAUGUUUGGAUCAUAUAGCUGAGAAGGUAAGAAAGCUACAUUUCAUGAGUUUCACAAGUCUACCUUUCCAUAUGAACUGUGAACGUUUCUUUUUCUUUGUGGCAACUUGAUGUUGACAGUUAUGGACCCAGGAGACAAAUUUAUGAGCGAGCAUUAUUUACACCUACAUUUAAAGUUGAAGGGAAUUAAAUUCGGGGGAUUUAGUGGAGUAUUGAUGAGCUGGAGCUCGCAAUGUAUUUGCUCCGAAUUGCUGUUGCACUGCUGCAAAUAUAUGGUUGGUUGAUUGUCUUUUGAUUAGCAUAAACUUUGAAGUUGAUUUGUGGAGUGAAAGAAGUUUUCAAUCUGGUUCUUAUUCCUGUUCUUAUUCGUAUUCACACUAUUCUUAUUCUUCCUGUUCUUAUUCGUAUUCUUAUUCCUGUUAUUAUUCGUA
This is a long non-coding RNA of Populus trichocarpa (black cottonwood), 3308 nucleotides long. RefSeq lists it as uncharacterized. The transcript is spliced from 2 exons. The record is from RefSeq and is a predicted model, not a curated record. Lineage: Eukaryota; Viridiplantae; Streptophyta; Magnoliopsida; Malpighiales; Salicaceae.